This 73-nucleotide transfer RNA is filed under the name Dermacentor andersoni. RNAcentral's name for it is "transfer RNA phenylalanine (anticodon GAA)". It matches the Rfam family "tRNA". From Rfam's summary of the family: Transfer RNA (tRNA) molecules are approximately 80 nucleotides in length. Lineage: Eukaryota; Metazoa; Arthropoda; Arachnida; Ixodida; Ixodidae. The record is from RNAcentral.
GCCGAAAUGGCUCAGUUGAGAGAGCGUUAGCCUGAAGAUCUAAAGGUCCCUGGUUCGAUCCCGGGUUUCGGCA